GGAGAUGUUGGGUGAAGUAUCUCCUGAGGUAUGAUUUGAGUGCACCUCACGUUCGGGCCACCACGUGAGAGUGAGACUCAGCCAACGCCAAGGAACGGCUGUGUGUUAGAUGUGAAAACAUGUUUAUGGGUAUGGGUCAUUGAACAGCCUUGGCGGUCUCAGUGGGAUACCUUGACGAAGGUACCUGCGAGAAUGAUUUUGGCAGGGGUCAAUUUUAAGAAGUUCAUAAGCCGGAAAAUUUUGAUGAAAAUAAAUUGUUUGGUAUAGACUGAAACGAAAUUUGUGUUAUGAACAUUUUUGAGAUAUAAUGUUUUUAUAUUAUCUCCAUCUACUCGGCUUUAGAUGCUUUUGAUGGUAAUUGUUUACUCACUGGGAUUAUUUAAUCUCACCCCUCUUCCUAUCCAUUUUUCAGGCUCAGGACAGUUUGUUGAUAGUUGAUUAAGACGAGAAUUAAUCUCGGAGUUGCAUCAUAGGAAGUAAGAGUUCGUAGCCCUACAUCUUCUUAGUCAGUUGGGGACCCACGUGUCACUGUAAAAGUAAUUUUAUUCUUCAGUUAUUUGAUUUAAAGUAUGUAUGAAUAUAUUUAGCUUUUACACCAUGUUUUUGACGAGUUUUGGUAUUUUCGAAGAAAAAUGAUGAAAAUGCCCCUGUGAGCCAAAAAAUAAUAUUUUAUUGUUUUGAUUUGGAAAUGACUUCUGAUUUUUUUGAAAUGUGAGAUUUAAUAACUGUCACUCACUGGGGAGAUGCAGAAGCUGAUGCUAAGCCUUGCGGGGUUUCGAUCGACAUUCGGGGUAAUGAGUGCCUAUCGGAACGUCGCGGCGGUUGUCACGGGCUCGAUGGGAGUUCCGGGUCGUGACAAUAAUGGUCAAGCAUUGAUGUGGUGAAUUAUGUAUUGUACAUUGUGGAUAGGUGGUGAGCAAAUUACACUGGUAAAAGUACAGAAAUUGUGCUUGAAGACUGAGAUUAGGAGUACAUCGACUCCUAGAACUGUGAGUGGAUAAUUUAUCGUCUUAAAUAUCUAGAGUUAUUAUACUUGUUUGAUGCUUUUAUUGAAUGGUGAGCUUAAAUUAUAAAAUAUUAUGUUUUCCAAUUAAAAUAUUUUUUUUAAUAAAAAUGAGAUUUAUAUUGAUUUUGAAAUCAAAUAUUGUUUUGGGAAAAUUGAGUAUAUGGAGACUGUGUUGAAAUUUAUGAUUUUAUAUGUUAUUGAAAUUGAGGAUUAUGACAAUAUGGUAGCAUGAUGGCUAAAUUUUUGGGGUUGACAUGAAAUAUAUGAACAAUUUUGGAUUAGUCUCGAUAGACUGGAUUAAAUUUUAUUCGCCAUAUUAUGCUACUGGAAAUUUUAUGGGUCUGGUGGUAUAUUAAACGGUCACUGCAGUAGUGGGGGUUUCCGUGGACUGCUUAUGAGAGGGGCACGGUAACUCAAUUAUAUACUUACCUCUGGGGGGAGAUGUUGGGUGAAGUAUCUCCUGAGGUAUGAUUUGAGUGCACCUUACGGUCGGGUCACCACGUGAGAGUGAGACUCAGCCAACGCCAAGGAACGGCUGUGUGUUAGAUGUGAAAAUAUGUUUAUGGGUAUGGGUCAUUGAACAGCCUUGGCGGUCUCAGUGGGAUACCUUGACGAAGGUACUCGCGAGAAUGAUUCUGGCAGGGGCCAAGUUUAAGAAAUUUAUAAGCC
RNAcentral lists this long non-coding RNA (1675 nucleotides) under Theobroma cacao (cacao). RNAcentral's name for it is "long non-coding RNA (TCAC_LNC001512)". The record is from RNAcentral. Lineage: Eukaryota; Viridiplantae; Streptophyta; Magnoliopsida; Malvales; Malvaceae.